RNAcentral lists this ribosomal RNA (253 nucleotides) under uncultured bacterium. RNAcentral's name for it is "partial 16S ribosomal RNA". It matches the Rfam family "Bacterial small subunit ribosomal RNA", at positions 524 to 776 of the family's 1533-position model. The record is from RNAcentral.
UACGUCGGGUGCGAGCGUUGUCCGGAAUUAUUGGGCGUAAAGGGCUCGUAGGCGGUUUGUCGCGUCGGGAGUGAAAACCUUGGGCUUAACUCAGGGCUUGCUUUCGAUACGGGCAGACUAGAGGUAUGCAGGGGAGAACGGAAUUCCUGGUGUAGCGGUGAAAUGCGCAGAUAUCUGGAGGAACACCGGUGGCGAAGGCGACAUCCUGGACCGGUAUUGACGCUGAGGCGCGAAAGCCAGGGGAGCAAACGGG